RNAcentral lists this ribosomal RNA (356 nucleotides) under uncultured Enterobacter sp. Its description in RNAcentral is "bacterial SSU rRNA". It matches the Rfam family "Bacterial small subunit ribosomal RNA", at positions 1 to 359 of the family's 1533-position model. Lineage: Bacteria; Pseudomonadati; Pseudomonadota; Gammaproteobacteria; Enterobacterales; Enterobacteriaceae. The record is from RNAcentral.
UAGAGUUUGAUCCUGGCUCAGAUUGAACGCUGGCGGCAGGCCUAACACAUGCAAGUCGAACGGUAACAGGAAGCAGCUUGCUGCUUCGCUGACGAGUGGCGGACGGGUGAGUAAUGUCUGGGAAACUGCCUGAUGGAGGGGGAUAACUACUGGAAACGGUAGCUAAUACCGCAUAACGUCGCAAGACCAAAGAGGGGGACCUUAGGGCCUCUUGCCAUCGGAUGUGCCCAGAUGGGAUUAGCUAGUAGGUGGGGUAACGGCUCACCUAGGCGACGAUCCCUAGCUGGUCUGAGAGGAUGACCAGCCACACUGGAACUGAGACACGGUCCAGACUCCUACGGGAGGCAGCAGAAGGG